Molecule: ribosomal RNA, 1562 nt
Filed under: Nostoc sp. CCAP 1453/31
Lineage: Bacteria; Bacillati; Cyanobacteriota; Cyanophyceae; Nostocales; Nostocaceae
Description: bacterial SSU rRNA
Rfam family: Bacterial small subunit ribosomal RNA
Source: RNAcentral
UGAUCCUGGCUCAGGAUGAACGCUGGCGGUAUGCUUAACACAUGCAAGUCGAACGAAAUCUUUCGGGAUUUAGUGGCGGACGGGUGAGUAACGCGUGAGAAUCUGGCUUCAGGUCUGGGACAACCACUGGAAACGGUGGCUAAUACCGGAUGUGCCUUUCGGGGUGAAAGGUUAACUGCCUGAAGAUGAGCUCGCGUCUGAUUAGCUAGUAGGUGUGGUAAAGGCGCACCUAGGCGACGAUCCAGUAGCUGGUCUGAGAGGACGAUCAGCCACACUGGGACUGAGACACGGCCCAGACUCCUACGGGAGGCAGCAGUGGGGAAUUUUCCGCAAUGGGCGAAAGCCUGACGGAGCAAUACCGCGUGAGGGAGGAAGGCUCUUGGGUCGUAAACCUCUUUUCUCAGGGAAGAACACAAUGACGGUACCUGAGGAAUAAGCAUCGGCUAACUCCGUGCCAGCAGCCGCGGUAAUACGGAGGAUGCAAGCGUUAUCCGGAAUGAUUGGGCGUAAAGCGUCCGCAGGUGGCGAUGUAAGUCUGCUGUUAAAGAGUCUAGCUCAACUAGAUAAGAGCAGUGGAAACUACAUAGCUAGAGUACGUUCGGGGCAGAGGGAAUUCCUGGUGUAGCGGUGAAAUGCGUAGAGAUCAGGAAGAACACCAGUGGCGAAGGCGCUCUGCUAGGCCGUAACUGACACUGAGGGACGAAAGCUAGGGGAGCGAAUGGGAUUAGAUACCCCAGUAGUCCUAGCCGUAAACGAUGGAUACUAGGCGUGGCUUGUAUCGACCCGAGCCGUGCCGUAGCUAACGCGUUAAGUAUCCCGCCUGGGGAGUACGCCGGCAACGGUGAAACUCAAAGGAAUUGACGGGGGCCCGCACAAGCGGUGGAGUAUGUGGUUUAAUUCGAUGCAACGCGAAGAACCUUACCAAGGCUUGACAUGUCGCGAAUCUUGGCGAAAGUUGAGAGUGCCUUCGGGAGCGCGAACACAGGUGGUGCAUGGCUGUCGUCAGCUCGUGUCGUGAGAUGUUGGGUUAAGUCCCGCAACGAGCGCAACCCUCGUUUUUAGUUGCCAGCAUUAAGUUGGGCACUCUAGAGAGACUGCCGGUGACAAACCGGAGGAAGGUGGGGAUGACGUCAAGUCAGCAUGCCCCUUACGCCUUGGGCUACACACGUACUACAAUGCUCCGGACAGAGGGCAGCAAGCGGGCGACCGCAAGCAAAUCCCAUAAACCGGAGCUCAGUUCAGAUCGCAGGCUGCAACUCGCCUGCGUGAAGGAGGAAUCGCUAGUAAUUGCAGGUCAGCAUACUGCAGUGAAUUCGUUCCCGGGCCUUGUACACACCGCCCGUCACACCAUGGAAGCUGGUAGUGCCCGAAGUCAUUACUCCAACUGUUCGCAGAGGAGGAUGCCUAAGGCAGGACUGGUGACUGGGGUGAAGUCGUAACAAGGUAGCCGUACCGGAAGGUGUGGCUGGAUCACCUCCUUUUUAGGGAGACCUACACCCCUCAGAAAUCGAAGAACAUACAGUUAAAUAGAUACUGAGUUGGUCUAACCUUAGGUCGGUCGC